Molecule: transfer RNA, 73 nt
Filed under: Marmota marmota marmota (Alpine marmot)
Lineage: Eukaryota; Metazoa; Chordata; Mammalia; Rodentia; Sciuridae
Also listed under: 1 other name
Rfam family: tRNA
About the family: Transfer RNA (tRNA) molecules are approximately 80 nucleotides in length.
Source: Rfam by way of RNAcentral
UGGGGUGUAGCUCAGUGGUAGAGUACAUACCUAGCAUGCAAGAGGCCCCUGGGUUCUGUCCCCAGCACCACGA